AUCAAGAUGGCAGAAAAAUGCUUUAGAUUUAAGCUCUAACCAUGAGGCCUUUGCCUCUCUUGAUA
This 65-nucleotide transfer RNA is filed under the name Melinna cristata. RNAcentral describes it as "tRNA-Leu". Lineage: Eukaryota; Metazoa; Annelida; Polychaeta; Terebellida; Melinnidae. The record is from RNAcentral.